CCUACGGGAGGCUGCAGUAAGGAAUAUUGGUCAAUGGACGAGAGUCUGAACCAGCCAAGUAGCGUGAAGGAUGACUGCCCUAUGGGUUGUAAACUUCUUUUAUAUGGGAAUAAAAUGUUCCACGUGUGGGAUUUUGUAUGUACCAUAUGAAUAAGGAUCGGCUAACUCCGUGCCAGCAGCCGCGGUAAUACGGAGGAUCCGAGCGUUAUCCGGAUUUAUUGGGUUUAAAGGGAGCGUAGGUGGAUUGUUAAGUCAGUUGUGAAAGUUUGCGGCUCAACCGUAGAAUUGCAGUUGAAACUGGCAGUCUUGAGUACAGUAGAGGUGGGCGGAAUUCGUGGUGUAGCGGUGAAAUGCUUAGAUAUCACGAAGAACUCCGAUUGCGAAGGCAGUUCACUGGACUGCAACUGACACUGAGGCUCGAAAGUGUGGGUAUCAAACAGGAUUAGAUACCCGGGUAGUC
RNAcentral lists this ribosomal RNA (460 nucleotides) under uncultured bacterium. RNAcentral describes it as "partial 16S ribosomal RNA". It matches the Rfam family "Bacterial small subunit ribosomal RNA", at positions 338 to 795 of the family's 1533-position model. The record is from RNAcentral.